Molecule: ribosomal RNA, 443 nt
Filed under: uncultured bacterium
Lineage: Bacteria
Description: bacterial SSU rRNA
Rfam family: Bacterial small subunit ribosomal RNA
Source: RNAcentral
CCUACGGGGGGCUGCAGUGGGGAAUUUUCCGCAAUGGGCGAAAGCCUGACGGAGCAAUACCGCGUGAGGGAUGACGGCCUAUGGGUUGUAAACCUCUUUUUUCAGGGAGGAAAAAAAUGACGUUACCUGAAGAAUAAGCAUCGGCUAACUCCGUGCCAGCAGCCGCGGUAAGACGGGGGAUGCAAGUGUUAUCCGGAAUCACUGGGCGUAAAGCGUCUGUAGGUGGUUUAAUAAGUCAACUGUUAAAUCUUGAGGCUCAACCUCAAAACCGCAGUCGAAACUAUUAGACUAGAGUAUAGUAGGGGUAAAGGGAAUUUCCAGUGGAGCGGUGAAAUGCGUAGAGAUUGGAAAGAACACCGAUGGCGAAGGCACUUUACUGGGCUAUUACUAACACUGAGAGACGAAAGCUAGGGUAGCAAAUGGGAUUAGAUACCCCUGUAGUC